CUGAUUUUUUUGGGGGGGAGGGACUAAUUUGUUUGGGUUUGGGUUUGGGGGGGGUGGCUACCAGCAUUUUUAGUGGUAUCUAAAUGCAUGAAAUGACAUGCAAAGUUUUGCACACCUCUAUUGCACACACACGGGUGAGCAGGUCUGAUUGCAAUAUUUCUCAUCUAUCAGUCAUUCUGAAGUGAGAGUGAUGAUUCAAUAAAAAAAGACCCCUAUGAUUAGUUUCACUUGCAGGGGUGUAAAAUUCUAAGGUGUGGCUUUACUAUUUAAAUUGCAGAUGGGAGUCGUUUCUGGAUGUUCUUCUAUGUGCAACUUCCUGCAGGUCAGUCUAGUAUAGUAAGGAGGAAAAUGCUAGUAUAAUCCAUUUCCCAUUCUGCUAAAUUUUCACUUGUAAAGAGACAUUAAAAUGAAGAAACAUUCCCCAAGGUGAUCUUCUGUGUAUUGUCCAAAGUUGCACUGUACAUUUUACUCCCUGGUGGCAGUACCACAUUUCCCUAUCUUAUUCUGCUGCAUGAAUAUACAGAAUCCAUGGUGCUGGAAUGUAGUUUAUGUACAUAGAAAUCAAACAUCAUUAGAUCACGCUACAUGGAAGAAACUUCCACACUACUAGAUAAUUGAGAUUUGAAGUGAAGCAUAAUGGUUGCACUGGAAAAAGUGGUGUUCCAAUUUGGUAAGGAUUAGAUACAGAAUCGUGACAAAACCCAAGGUCACAAUUGCUCAGUACACUAGCUUUUGCAAGGUUAUGACCACUAAAGCUUCAGGACAUUUUCAAAUCCAGAGAUGAUACAAAGCUAAACCAACAAUAGAGGGAUUGCUUCUUUAUGUGGAUCAUGGGAUUGACUCUUUAUUCCUUCUAGCAUUUUAGGUUAUCUGUGCUGGACUCGAAGAGACCCCUUCCAAAAGAAAAUAAGAAAGAAAAAGACUCAGUAUGAAAGCGUGCAGAAAGUUUGAUCUGUCAGGAGAAACUGCUGAAGCACUGUUGAUUUGCCCUCAGCCAUGCCUGUGUUGUGCUACAUUGCCCUCUGGCCAACAAUCGGAGCAAACAGAUUCUCCUAACUUCUGCCUCGCUGCAUCUGUUCCAUGUGCUGCCAUGCAAAGCAAAUUAGCCAUUUUCUUUUAAAAAAUACUGUGAAACAGGUGUUCAGGUCAGGCUUCCAUUUUACAAAAUCAUUUUAUAUAUUCUUCUGCUGUAUUAACUCCACACAAAUGAUGACCAGUGUCGUGUCUUACUUUUUCAGCUAACCCAUCCAGAAGUACUGCAAUUCCAGUUUAUCGAUAUGGGCCUUUGAAUCCAAGUGUGUGACAGAUUCAAACACAGCAGCUUAUGGACUUGCUCAUAAAAGCUCAAACUGAAUCAAAGGAUAGUUUAAUAGAAUCGGCAUUUGAUAUUAUUUAAAGAUGCACUAAAAUGCUAUUUAAUUAAAUAUGACAAUCGUGAAUUCCAUAUCGGCCAGGAACAUUAAAAAUAGAUCUACCAUAAGAUCUUACUCAUUUUGAAAUGGUUAGUUCUGUGUAUAAGCAAAAUGUCACAAUUUAAUAUUUUAUUUCCCAUAAAACACUGAACUGAACUGAAUUUCUCACCCUUGCCCUCAAUUAUUGGUGGCUGGAGCAAUUCAUAGAUAGAGCAUAUGUAAGAAACGGCAUAGGUGAAAAGAUAUAUGCUAGCAGCUCAUUAUUAAACUCUAGAUACUGAGUGUAGACCAGGCACAUACUGAAGCUUAAUAGCACUAGUGUCAUGUGU
Anolis carolinensis (green anole) is the source of this 1741-nucleotide long non-coding RNA. Lineage: Eukaryota; Metazoa; Chordata; Lepidosauria; Squamata; Anolidae. The record is from Ensembl.